RNAcentral lists this ribosomal RNA (519 nucleotides) under Palaemon debilis. Its description in RNAcentral is "partial 16S rRNA". It matches the Rfam family "Bacterial large subunit ribosomal RNA", at positions 1812 to 2601 of the family's 2925-position model. The record is from RNAcentral. Lineage: Eukaryota; Metazoa; Arthropoda; Malacostraca; Decapoda; Palaemonidae.
AACAUGUCUCUAUGAAAGUUAAUAUAAAGUCUAGCCUGCCCACUGAGUUUUUAAAGGGCUGCGGUAAUUUGACCGUGCAAAGGUAGCAUAAUCAGUAGUCUUUUAAUUGAAGGCUGGAAUGAACGGUUGGAUGCGAGAGAAGCUGUCUCUUACAUAGUUCAGAAUUUGACUUUUAAGUGAAAAGGCUUAAAUAGAAUAGUGGGACGAUAAGACCCUAUAAAACUUUAUACGAGUUAUGGUUGUUUAUUAGAAUUUUAACUAAAAUUUGAAGGGCUGUGUUCGUAUUUUGUUGGGGAGACAUUGAUAUAAUUUGUAACUGUCUAAUUAAAGGGUAUAGUAAUUAUUAGAAUUUGAUCCUCCUGUGGGGAUAGAAAGAAUAAGUUACUUUAGGGAUAACAGCGUGAUUUUUUCUGAGAGUCCUUAUCGAAGAAGUUAGUUGCGACCUCGAUGUUGAAUUAAAAUUUCUAGUAGGUGUAGCCGUUUACUAAGUAGGUCUGUUCGACCUUUAAAAUUUUACAU